This 155-nucleotide unclassified non-coding RNA is filed under the name soil metagenome. RNAcentral's name for it is "partial internal transcribed spacer 1". The record is from RNAcentral.
CCGAGUUUACAACUCCCAGACCCCUGUGAACAUACCUAUCGUUGCCUUCGGCGGAUCAGCCCCGGCGCCCUCGGGACCGGGAUCAGGCGCCGCCAGGAGGACCCCUAAACUCUGUAUUUCUUAUGUAUCUUCUGAGUAACAAGCCAAAUAAAUCA